This 1471-nucleotide ribosomal RNA is filed under the name metagenome. RNAcentral's name for it is "bacterial LSU rRNA". It matches the Rfam family "Bacterial large subunit ribosomal RNA", at positions 1151 to 2407 of the family's 2925-position model. The record is from RNAcentral.
AAGUGAUUCUGCGCCGACAAUUUAGCGGGGCUCAAGCACACCGCCGAAGCUGUGGCAUUCGCGUGUUAGCCCGGCCCUUUGUGGUUAAGGUGGAUGGCGGUCCUUGCCGCUGUGGUUUCGGCCACGGCUGCUCGGACUGUGGCCGCUGGCGCCUUUAGGGUCCAGGUACGCGGAUGGGUAGGGGAGCGUCGGGUGGCGAGAGAAGCGGCGGAGUGAUCCAGCCGUGGAUGCCACUCGAGUGAGAAUGCAGGCAUGAGUAGCGAAAGAGGGGUGAGAAACCCCUCCGCCGAAUGACCAAGGGUUCCUGGGGCAGGCUAAUCCGCCCAGGGUAAGUCGGGACCUAAGGCGAGGCCGACAGGCGUAGUCGAUGGACAACGGGUUGAUAUUCCCGUACCCGCUUAAAUGCGCCCAUGCCGAAUCUGGCGAUGCUAAGCAGCCAACGCUGGUGGAUCCUUCGGGAGAAGCCGGCCGCGGAAGCGACCCAGACCGGUAGUAGGCAAGCCGAAGGGGUGACGCAGGAGGGUAGCUCUACCGGGCGAUGGUUGUUCCCGGGGUAAAGGUGUAGGGCGAUGCGUAGGCAAAUCCGCGCAUCAUCAAGCCUGAGACCUGACGCCGAGCUGAUUUAGGCGAAGUGAGUGAUCCCAUGCUGCCAAGAAAAGCCUCGCGGUGAGUGUCUUUGCGGCCCGUACCCUAAACCGACUCAGGUGGUCAGGUAGAGAAUACCAAGGCGAUCGGGUGAACCGUGGUUAAGGAACUAGGCAAAUUAUCUCCGUAACUUUGGGAGAAGGAGAGCCGUGUUCGGUGACGAGACUUGCUCUCCGAGCUGAAUGCGGUCGCAGAUACCAGGGGAAAGCGACUGUUUACUAAAAACACAGGUCCGUGCAAAGUCGCAAGACGACGUAUACGGACUGACGCCUGCCCGGUGCUGGAACGUUAAGGGGACGGGUUAGCAGCCUUCGGGUUGCGAAGCUCAGAACUUAAGCGCCAGUAAACGGCGGUGGUAACUAUAACCAUCCUAAGGUAGCGAAAUUCCUUGUCGGGUAAGUUCCGACCUGCACGAAUGGCGUAACGACUUUCCCACUGUCUCAACCACGGACCCGGCGAAAUUGCACUACGAGUAAAGAUGCUCGUUACGCGCAGCAGGACGGAAAGACCCCGGGACCUUCACUGCAGCUUGACAUUGGCGUUUGGGACGUCUUGUGUAGGAUAGGUGGGAGACUUUGAAGCAGAGACGCUAGUUUCUGUGGAGUCAACGGUGAAAUACCACUCUGGUCGUUCUGGAUGUCUAACCUGGGUCCGUGAUCCGGAUCAGGGACAGUGUCUGGUGGGUAGUUUAACUGGGGCGGUUGCCUCCUAAAAGGUAACGGAGGCGCCCAAAGGUACCCUCAGCCUGGUUGGCAAUCAGGUGUCGAGUGUAAGUGCACAAGGGUGCUUGACUGUGAGACAGACAUGUCGAGCAGGAGCGAAAGCU